UACGAAGGGGCUAGCGUUGCUCGGAAUCACUGGGCGUAAAGGGUGCGUAGGCGGGUCUUUAAGUCAGGGGUGAAAUCCUGGAGCUCAACUCCAGAACUGCCUUUGAUACUGAGGAUCUUGAGUCCGGGAGAGGUGAGUGGAACUGCGAGUGUAGAGGUGAAAUUCGUAGAUAUUCGCAAGAACACCAGUGGCGAAGGCGGCUCACUGGCCCGGUACUGACGCUGAGGCACGAAAGCGUGGGGAGCAAACAGG
RNAcentral lists this ribosomal RNA (252 nucleotides) under uncultured bacterium. RNAcentral describes it as "partial 16S ribosomal RNA". It matches the Rfam family "Bacterial small subunit ribosomal RNA", at positions 524 to 776 of the family's 1533-position model. The record is from RNAcentral.